Coprinopsis sp. MPI-PUGE-AT-0042 is the source of this 90-nucleotide non-coding RNA. NCBI's taxonomy places the organism in Eukaryota, Fungi, Basidiomycota, Agaricomycetes, Agaricales, Psathyrellaceae. The record is from the annotation of a GenBank genome assembly.
GCUGGAAUGGCCGAGUCGUUAAGGCGAGUGAUUUGAAUUUACAAUAUCACUUGGUGUUUCACCGCGUAGGUUCAAAUCCUGCUUCCAGCG